Molecule: transfer RNA, 71 nt
Filed under: Capra hircus (goat)
Lineage: Eukaryota; Metazoa; Chordata; Mammalia; Artiodactyla; Bovidae
Also listed under: 1 other name
Rfam family: tRNA
About the family: Transfer RNA (tRNA) molecules are approximately 80 nucleotides in length. Their secondary structure includes four short double-helical elements and three loops (D, anti-codon, and T loops). Further hydrogen bonds mediate the characteristic L-shaped molecular structure. tRNAs have two regions of fundamental functional importance: the anti-codon, which is responsible for specific mRNA codon recognition, and the 3' end, to which the tRNAs corresponding amino acid is attached (by aminoacyl-tRNA synthetases). tRNAs cope with the degeneracy of the genetic code in two manners: having more than one tRNA (with a specific anti-codon) for a particular amino acid; and 'wobble' base-pairing, i.e. permitting non-standard base-pairing at the 3rd anti-codon position.
Source: Rfam by way of RNAcentral
UCCUCAUGUCUCAGUUGGUAAAGAAUCUGCCUGCAAUGUGGAAGACCUGGGUUCAAUCCCCGGAUUGGGAA